Molecule: long non-coding RNA, 1243 nt
Filed under: Ursus maritimus (polar bear)
Lineage: Eukaryota; Metazoa; Chordata; Mammalia; Carnivora; Ursidae
Description: lncRNA (ENSUMAG00000007018.1)
Source: RNAcentral
CCUGUCUUCAGUUGGAUGAGGCAUCAGCUUGGGGGGCAAGCUGGCUGUGUUACCCCGUGCUCGUGGGACAGUUGCCUCCUGUGUCGGCCCCACUGUGCAGUCAGCUGGGGAGGCACUCAGCUUUGGGUCCCCUGUGAGAAGGGCCCCGGCCCCCCAGGACAGAGGCGGUCACAUCACGGUGGCUUCUGGCUUUGGGGUUUGCAGCCGUCAGGUUCCAAUUUCCAAGCCCUUCUGUUCGGGUGACUGUGCCCAGGUUAUGACGACUAAUCCCAAACCAAACAAGGCGUUAAAGGUAAGCGGGGGUGGGGGUGAGCAGACCCUGUUUCUGUCGCGGUCUCAGGCCUGGAAAGGUCCCUUCUGGCCCCAGUAGCCCCACUUUCCCAGGAUUGCCCUGAGUGUGAGGAAGGAAGCCCUGGAAGAGAGUGGGGUGGGGAGGGGGCUGUUGGCUAAAGGAUGUGUCACAGAGAGGUGGUGACAGAAUUGGGGCUUGCGGCCUUGGGAGACGCCAGCUCCGACGUCUGGGGGGAUCACUCCUUGGCAGGGAGCAGUAGGGGUGGAUCCCCGCCGGCUAGGAUGUGCUGAUCACCCCAGCCCCCAGGCGUGGGCAGUGUGGCCUCCGUCCAGUGGAACCACGGGCCAGGCAGCGCAUAUGAAUGGUGGCGCCCUGGCUCCCAGGGUCUGGCUCUGGCUGUCCGCAGUGCGUGCUGCCUCCGUGGGCCUUCCCAGCUUCUGAGGCCGGCAGCGUGUGCUCUUGGGUUGGCUGUCUCGUCCUGGGAGCAGAGCUGGGUCUGGCAGGAGAGGGAACGCUCCGUGCAUUCCUGGGCCGUGCACGUCCAAGCCCCUUCUGAGGUCCCACUAGGUGUGAGGGGUGUGGAAGGAUGGGCUGCCUGUAUCCGUCCUGCCCCGGGCACUGAAGAUACACAGCGGGUAGCACACACGUGGGCCACAGUCUUGCAGAGUGUGGGCGGCUGACGGGAACCAGGCGAUGGCCGGGUGUAGCCAGUGGCCCCCGUCCGAGAACCGUCUGAGUACGCUGCUGUGUGCGUGGCGUCAGGUGACCCCUCAGUGACCGUUCCCGGUCCGUGAUGGAGGAGCGAAGGCCCACGGGCUCAGCAGAGGCCGUGCCGCCCGGUCUUUCUGCUGCCCGGAACCGGGCUCUUGAGCACACAGGCUUUGCCCUGGUGUAGACACAGCGAGCCAUCUUCUAGGGUCCCGCUGCGUCAAGGGCCUCCCGCUGCCCGUG